CAGCAGUAGCCGCGGUAAUACGAAGGGUGCAAGCGUUAAUCGGAAUUACUGGGCGUAAAGCGUGCGUAGGCGGUUUGUUAAGUCUGUUGUGAAAUCCCCGGGCUCAACCUGGGAAUGGCAAUGGAUACUGGCAAGCUAGAGUGUGUCAGAGGAUGGUGGAAUUCCCGGUGUAGCGGUGAAAUGCGUAGAGAUCGGGAGGAACAUCAGUGGCGAAGGCGGCCAUCUGGGACAACACUGACGCUGAGGCACGAAAGCGUGGGGAGCAAACAGGAUUAGAUACCCCAGUAGUCCCUGUCUCUUAUAC
RNAcentral lists this ribosomal RNA (304 nucleotides) under uncultured bacterium. Its description in RNAcentral is "partial 16S ribosomal RNA". It matches the Rfam family "Bacterial small subunit ribosomal RNA", at positions 506 to 807 of the family's 1533-position model. The record is from RNAcentral.